Molecule: ribosomal RNA, 705 nt
Filed under: uncultured fungus
Lineage: Eukaryota; Fungi
Description: eukaryotic LSU rRNA
Rfam family: Eukaryotic large subunit ribosomal RNA (bases 457-705)
Source: RNAcentral
GUUGAGUAUCUCGCCUCUCAAUUCUCUCUGUAUUUUACCCUUGUUUUUCCCAUACUAUUAUUUCCUCGGCAGGCUCGCCUGCCGGGUGAAACAACUUCAAACCUGUUUAAUUUUCAAUCAGCGUCUGAACAAAUUAAUAAUUACAACUUUCAACAACGGAUCUCUUGGUUCUGGCAUCGAUGAAGAACGCAGCGAAAUGCGAUAAGUAGUGUGAAUUGCAGAAUUCAGUGAAUCAUCGAAUCUUUGAACGCACAUUGCGCCCCUUGGUAUUCCAUGGGGCAUGCCUGUUCGAGCGUCAUUUGUACCUUCAAGCUCUGCUUGGUGUUGGGUGUUUGUCCUUGCUCUAGUGGCGGGACUCGCCUUAAAGUAAUUGGCAGCCAGUGUUUUGGUUUUGAAGCGCAGCACAAGUCGCGAUUCAAGUCUAUACGCUAGUUUCCACAAGUCUUUUAUCACUUUUGACCUCGGAUCAGGUAGGGAUACCCGCUGAACUUAAGCAUAUCAAUAAGCGGAGGAAAAGAAACCAACAGGGAUUGCCCUAGUAACGGCGAGUGAAGCGGCAACAGCUCAAAUUUGAAAUCUGGCUCUUUCAGAGUCCGAGUUGUAAUUUGCAGAGGGCGCUUUGGUGUUGGCAGCGGUCCAAGUUCCUUGGAACAGGACGUCACAGAGGGUGAGAAUCCCGUACGUGGUCGCUAGCCUUCGCCGUGU